CUUGCAUAAAUAAAUUUAAGCAUCCAAAAGACAGAACCUGCCGCCAAAACAUAUAAAUGUGGUGAUCACCACAUCAUGAUGUGGAAUCAUAUUUGUUGAGAUUACUGGUGUACUUGAGAACAUGGUAUUUUAUGAAGCUGAAACCAGAUUUAGCAACCAGUACAAUCUCAAGUUCCUCGGUUGGGUCUUAGAAUCUCUUGAACUUGAUGAAUGAUGCUGCAAAUUUUCAUUCCAGAUACAGUAAUAGCAUUCUCCCUGAUUUGUCAUGAAGGCCAGGAAGUUUCAGUGCCGAACCACUCCAUGGAUCUGUUCAGAAUGAAAGAUUAAUCUAUUAUCUAACCACCUGGAGGCUUAUAUGGCUCUUGCAACAGAUCCAUUUGCAUCUGCGAAUGCACAAGAGCAUUCUGAUUCCUGAAGACAAUACCACCAUCACUACCUCGAGCAGCUGCGUCAUCAACAGAAGCACAGCAAAACUUACAGUACCAGCACCAACAUGCAAAAUAUGAUCCAAGAGCACCAGAACUUCCACUGCUGUUAGAAUUAUGGAAAGGCCAUUAACACAAGAUCAAGAAGCUCUCAGAUACCCUCAGUGCGACUCAUUGGGUACUAUGUUCUGCUAGUACAAGGACUGCAGCCUCUGGCAGCUGCGCCCUUCCACAAGGAAGCAAAUGCCAUUAAACUCAUGGUGUCACCCUGGAACAUUCCGGUCGGCAGCAGAUGUAGGAAGAACAAGCACAUCAAGAGGGGGGGGAGCGAUCGUGUUGGUGGCACCCGGUCAAACCUGUUCAUCUGACUCUUCUAUUUUGCUAAUUCCAGAGAACGGGUGUAAUAUACAAGUAUAUUUUAAGAAUCAUAUGUGGGUUAUUCCAAUUGUGUUCUUAACGCGGCCUGGAUAUUUACAUUGUAGAGUUAAAAUGAAUGUAUAUAUCACACCUUUUCGAGAUUAUAGCCAGGUUAUGCAAUAUCUUGGACUUGGACUUCUUUAUCUCAACCCUCC
Non-coding RNA from Musa acuminata subsp. malaccensis (wild Malaysian banana), 997 nucleotides. The record is from RefSeq and is a predicted model, not a curated record. Lineage: Eukaryota; Viridiplantae; Streptophyta; Magnoliopsida; Zingiberales; Musaceae.